CGGAGGAUCCAAGCGUUAUCCGGAAUCAUUGGGUUUAAAGGGUCCGUAGGCGGUUUUAUAAGUCAGUGGUGAAAUCUGGUCGCUCAACGAUCAAACGGCCAUUGAUACUGUAGAACUUGAAUUACUUGGAAGUAACUAGAAUAUGUAGUGUAGCGGUGAAAUGCUUAGAGAUUACAUGGAAUACCAACUGCGAAGGCAGGUUACUACAAGUAUAUUGACGCUGAUGGACGAAAGCGUGGGGAGCGAACAGGAUUAGAUACCCUGGUAGUCCACGCCGUAAACGAUGGAUACUAGCUGUUUGGAGCAAUCUGAGUGGCUAAGCGAAAGUGAUAAGUAUCCCACCUGGGGAGUACGCUCGCAAGAGUG
Molecule: ribosomal RNA, 366 nt
Filed under: uncultured organism
Description: bacterial SSU rRNA
Rfam family: Bacterial small subunit ribosomal RNA
Source: RNAcentral